UACGUAGGGGGCGAGCGUUGUCCGGAUUUAUUGGGCGUAAAGCGCGCGUAGGCGGUGUCGCAAGUCGGCCGUGAAAUCUCCAGGCUCAACUUGGAGGGGUCGGGCGAGACUGCGGCGCUGGAGGCAGGCAGAGGGCGGUGGAAUUCCGGGUGUAGUGGUGGAAUGCGUAGAGAUCCGGAGGAACACCAGUGGCGAAGGCGGCCGCCUGGGCCUGACCUGACGCUGAGGCGCGAAAGCGUGGGGAGCGAUCCGG
RNAcentral lists this ribosomal RNA (253 nucleotides) under uncultured bacterium. RNAcentral describes it as "partial 16S ribosomal RNA". It matches the Rfam family "Bacterial small subunit ribosomal RNA", at positions 524 to 776 of the family's 1533-position model. The record is from RNAcentral.